AGGAGAUCCUAUACUUAAUUAAGUCACUAAAGUUUUAAAAGUGGCAGAGCUGGGGCCCUGGCUGCCAGUUGGCACCUACAGACUGGCAUGGUGACCAAGAGUUCUCCUUCUUAGCACAUGCCCUAGCCACACUAGUGGUCAGGAGGCUGCAGCAGAAGCCCUCACUUGGGGUCUCAGCCGCCCCCCCCCCCCAGGCCAGUGUGGAAGAGGGCGGAGCCUCCAGGAAUUUAUGCUCCACAACAGACCUAGCGGACCAAAGAGCCGGUACCUGCACAGUGUCUGUGCUUCGGAGGAAAGGCCAGAUGUUUGAGCUCUUGUAUGUUUAUAAACGAAACGUCUGCUACAUCCAGACCCCUGUGUUUACACUAUGGCUGGGAGGGGGGCUAGCCAAUGGGGGCUAGCACACAUUAGAAGGCAUCCCUGGGGAUGUGGCUCCUUGGCACUCAAUCACUUGCCUCUUGGCUCUGUGACCUUCUGUGAGACAAUGCACUUCUACCUCAGUUCCCUCACUAUAAAACAAAUGCAGUUACACUAGCCACCGCCAAGAGUCAUAGGUCAAUGGAUGUUUAUAAAGCAUGCUCAGAAUCGGGCCUGGUAUUCAGUCGAUGCUCAAUUCAUGCAUUAUUCUUAUUCCUGCUUUGUCCCCUUCUAGAUCCCAGCAAACGCCCCCUCCACGCUCAGCCCCCAUUCCACCAAGGGAACCUCGUAGCAGCCACUGGAGCAAAAGAAAGCUUCUUUGCAUAUCUCUGGUGUUAAGUAGAACAUGGGCACUUACGAUACAGGGAUGUCCUUGGAUGAUCUUGUAAUAACAAAAAGUAACCCUUAUGUUACUUUGGUGGUCCUUGGCCUGUAGUAAAAACCUCCUCCUAACGCCAAGACUUUUGGCUUCUGAAAUAACCUCCAGACCAAAAUGGAGAAGCCUGUCGGUGCUACAGAAGUUCAGUUACACUUAAUACAUGUAUGUAUAUUUCCUUUUAUUUAGCUGUGCAAUGAGGCAUGAAACUGCACCUAACCAUCCACUUACUUGGCCCUUUGAACAUCAGCCUGCACGGCACUGGGACGAGGUGCGCGGUGCCAGCCUGCAGCUGUUUCUGCUUUGGUUAUUAUUGCAAAUACCCAGGGAAGGCUGCCUUUCGGUUUCUCUCCUCCCGGCUCUGCGGGCCGUCUGUGCUCACUAAUUUUCACACCAAUUUCCACUCUGGCUCUGGUUCUGAGGGAGCCACAGGCCCUUUUGCAGAGGGAAACCUCUGGGCGAUCUGACUUGGGCGGUGCUCUGUCUGUACAGCCCUCUCACUGUUUGAAGGGGUCUGGUUCAUGAUUUGUACUGAAAUUUGUUAAAUCCUGGAAGGUUUUGAUUUGGUUCCCCCCUUCUGUGUGUGCUGUGUCUUGUUUUUGUUGUUUCGGUAAUGCAGAGUCCAAAUUGAGUUAAAGAAGUUUUUCCGACUCCACGUUUGGCUGUGUUUCACGUUUUCAUCAGCUGUUACGGAUCGGGAAUAUUAAAUAGCACAACAAUAGUAAUUUGGGGAUUUCAGAGCUCAAUGGGGGUGAUUUAUAGAAACCUGAAGCUCUUACCAUAAUAUUUUGUUAAAUCUGUUUCCUCUUAUUUUGCCUGAUUUAAUACAGACUCUUCCUUUCGGUUCUCCGUCCCUUUGAAUGGCUGAAAGAAGUUAAAUGCAUGCAGGUCUAUCCCGCCUCCAAUAUGGAGAUAAAAGGGGCCAAUAUGAAAGUUUCUUAUAAGUUAUAGCAAUGGCAGGAACAUGCCGGGUUUUCAUAGCUGACCAGAGUCACUGCCUCAGCUGGUUUUGUUUAAAAAGCUGGGUUGGAGAUUGAGUCUGAUUGCUGG
Molecule: long non-coding RNA, 1843 nt
Filed under: Mus musculus (house mouse)
Lineage: Eukaryota; Metazoa; Chordata; Mammalia; Rodentia; Muridae
Description: long non-coding RNA chr11:51388766-51390609
Source: RNAcentral